RNAcentral lists this long non-coding RNA (333 nucleotides) under Chinchilla lanigera (long-tailed chinchilla). RNAcentral describes it as "lncRNA (ENSCLAG00000026372.1)". The record is from RNAcentral. Lineage: Eukaryota; Metazoa; Chordata; Mammalia; Rodentia; Chinchillidae.
AAAUGACAACAGAGAUGAUACUGUUAAGGAUAUCCUACUAUCUUCUUAGGCCCAGAGGAGAUAAUAACAACAAUGACAGCAACAAAAAUGAUUGCAUCUCUGAGGGAGGAGAGAGCGGAGGAAGAAGUGGUCACCUCCUUCUUGUUCAUGCCUGAGUGCACCUUCAGGAGCGCUGGUGUUGGUGAGGACUGACUCAGGGAGUCUGUAAAAGCCAAUCUGGGGCUGAGAAAGAGUCAUGGAUUUGUUAUUUGUUAGACCGAAGCUCUGCAGAGCCAAACCCAUCAAUAUUCCUGCAGUGUGACAGACCCAGCAAGGCUCCGGAAUGCUAACCGG